UUGACACAUUGGAAAAUUACCUCAGAAAACAUAGAUUUUGUACUGAAUGUAAAUCAAAAGUUUUGAGGGCAUACAGUAUUCUGGCAGGAGAUUUGGAUGGACCAAGUGAAAAGGGUUACUGUGCUACUUUGUAUGAUGGUCUUAAAAGCUGUCCUCAAGACCGGCAUGUCCAUGUACUGUGUG
This is a long non-coding RNA of Pocillopora damicornis (cauliflower coral), 183 nucleotides long. The record is from RefSeq and is a predicted model, not a curated record. Lineage: Eukaryota; Metazoa; Cnidaria; Anthozoa; Scleractinia; Pocilloporidae.